This 263-nucleotide unclassified non-coding RNA is filed under the name Chaetosphaeriaceae sp. RNAcentral describes it as "partial contains 5.8S ribosomal RNA, internal transcribed spacer 2, and large subunit ribosomal RNA". Lineage: Eukaryota; Fungi; Ascomycota; Sordariomycetes; Chaetosphaeriales; Chaetosphaeriaceae. The record is from RNAcentral.
CGCACAUUGCGCCCGCCGGUAUCCCGGCGGGCAUGCCUGUCCGAGCGUCGUUACAACGCCCAGAUCUCAUCUGGUGUUAAGGCAUCUGAGUUUCCACAUGGAGACACUAGAGCCUUGGAAGCUAGCGGCGGCUUGCGUACAGCCCGAGCGAAGUUAUUUUACUUUAGGGUAUCAACGCUAAGGGUCUGUAAUCAAGUCUUGCCGAAACCUUUUUUUCGUAACAGCUCGACCUCGGAUCAGGUAGGAAUACCCGCUGAACUUAA